RNAcentral lists this unclassified non-coding RNA (462 nucleotides) under Hevea brasiliensis (rubber tree). Lineage: Eukaryota; Viridiplantae; Streptophyta; Magnoliopsida; Malpighiales; Euphorbiaceae. The record is from RNAcentral.
UCCUAGAUGAUUUUCAUUUUUAUGAAGAGCGGCAGAAAGCGAUGCAGGCAAGGAAGUCAAAACAGCAUCAGCGAGUAAGCCUGGUGCCUACUUCAGUGAUUGGAGAUGGUGAACAAAAUCCUGUUUCAGUUUCUAAUGAUUUCACAAAGAAAAUGUCUAAGAGCUUUGCUGAAGCUGUAUCUCUUAAUGAGACCGAAACAAAGUUGUCUAUUUCACAUCUGCCUCAGGGGGCCAUGGGAGCUCAACAUGAAAAACGAAGCUGACAGAAACAGCAUAUCCAGCUAAUUGGAUAGGUAGGAAAUUUAUUUUAGGUGUCUUGAACAGGGAAGUUUGAACUUUAUAUUACCUCUCAUUCUCUGUUUUUGUUUCCAUUUAUUUGAUUUUAUUAUAUUUGAAUUUACAUGGAGAUUAUCUGGAUUGUUUGAUAAGAUUUAUGUAAAUUCAAAUAUAAUAAAAUCAAAU